This 87-nucleotide transfer RNA is filed under the name Gammaproteobacteria bacterium. Its description in RNAcentral is "tRNA-Leu". The record is from RNAcentral. Lineage: Bacteria; Pseudomonadati; Pseudomonadota; Gammaproteobacteria.
GCCCAGAUGGCGGAAUUNGUAGACGCGCUAGCUUCAGGUGCUAGUCGCUAUANAGUCGUGGGAGUUCAAGUUUCCCUCUAGGCACCA